This 1375-nucleotide ribosomal RNA is filed under the name uncultured marine bacterium. Its description in RNAcentral is "bacterial SSU rRNA". It matches the Rfam family "Bacterial small subunit ribosomal RNA". The record is from RNAcentral.
GAGUUUGAUCCUGGCUCAGGACGAACGCUGGCGGUGCGCCUUAUGCAUGCAAGUUGAGCGAAGCUUUUUGGUAGUUUACUACUAGAAAUGACUGAGCGGCGAACGGGUGAGUAACGCGUGAGCAAUCUACCUUAGUUACUGGGAUAGCCCGAGGAAACUCGGAUUAAUACCAGAUAUUCUUAUUUUUUCACAUGAAGUUUUAAGGAAAGGUCAGCCGAACUAAGAUGAGCUCGCGUUCUAUCAGCUAGUUGGUGGGGUAAAAGCCUACCAAGGCAACGACGGAUAGCUGGUCUGAGAGGACGAUCAGCCACACUGGGACUGAGACACGGCCCAGACUCCUACGGGAGGCUGCAGCAGGGAAUAUUGUGCAAUGAGCGAAAGCUUGACACAGCGACACCGCGUGUGGGAUGACGGUUCUAGGAUUGUAAACCACUUUCAGGAGGGAAGAAAAUGACGGUACCUCCACAAGAAGACCCGGCCAACUAUGUGCCAGCAGCCGCGGUAAUACGGAGGGUCCAAGCGUUAUCCGGAUUUAUUAGGUUUAAAGGGUCCGCAGGCGGGAUUUUAAGUCAGUGGUGAAAGCCUACAGCUCAACUGUAGAACUGCCAUUGAUACUGAAAUUCUUGAGUGUGGUUGAAGUGGGCGGAACAUGUCAUGUAGCGGUGAAAUGCAUAGAUAUGACAUAGAACACCAAUUGCGAAGGCAGCUCACUAAGCCAUUACUGACGCUGAGGGACGAAAGCGUGGGGGAGCGAACAGGAUUAGAUACCCUGGUAGUCCACGCCGUAAACGAUGAUCACUCGUUGCUAGCGAUACACUGUUAGUGACCAAGCGAAAGUGUUAAGUGAUCCACCUGGGAAGUACGUUCGCAAGAAUGAAACUCAAAGGAAUUGACGGGGGCCCGCACAAGCGGUGGAGCAUGUGGUUUAAUUCGAUGAUACGCGAGGAACCUUACCAGGGCUUAAAUGCAGAAUGACAGAUUGGGAAACCAGUCCUUCUUCGGACAUUUUGCAAGGUGCUGCAUGGUUGUCGUCAGCUCGUGCCGUGAGGUGUCAGGUUAAGUCCUAUAACGAGCGCAACCCCCAUUCUUAGUUGCCAGCGGGUAAUGCCGGGAACUCUAAGGAGACUGCCAGCGCAAGCUGCGAGGAAGGUGGGGAUGACGUCAAAUCAUCACGGCCCUUACGUCCUGGGCUACACACGUGCUACAAUGGAUGGUACAAUGGGCAGCCACUACGCGAGUAGGAGCUAAUCCUCAAAACCAUUCUCAGUUCGGAUCGGAGUCUGCAACUCGACUCCGUGAAGCCGGAAUCGCUAGUAAUCAGAUAUCAGCAAUGAUCUGGUGAAUACGUUCCCGGGCCUUGUACUCACCGCCCGUC